RNAcentral lists this ribosomal RNA (253 nucleotides) under uncultured bacterium. RNAcentral describes it as "partial 16S ribosomal RNA". It matches the Rfam family "Bacterial small subunit ribosomal RNA", at positions 524 to 776 of the family's 1533-position model. The record is from RNAcentral.
UACGGAGGGGGCUAGCGUUGUUCGGAAUUACUGGGCGUAAAGCGCGCGUAGGCGGACCUGCAAGUCGGGGGUGAAAGCCCGAGGCUCAACCUCGGAACUGCCUUCGAUACUGCGGGUCUCGAGUCCGGGAGAGGUGAGUGGAAUUCCUAGUGUAGAGGUGAAAUUCGUAGAUAUUAGGAAGAACACCAGUGGCGAUGGCGGCUCACUGGCCCGGUACUGACGCUGAGGCGCGAAAGCGUGGGGAGCAAACAGG